This 206-nucleotide non-coding RNA is filed under the name Chromera velia. The record is from RNAcentral. Lineage: Eukaryota; Chromeraceae.
GAAAAAAGAGAAGUGCGAACAGACAACUCACAGCAAAAAAGUUACGCUUUCUCUUUGUUUUGCUCUUUUCCUUGACUUUCCUUUUUUUUUUCUCUAAAGACUGCAAAUUGAAGUGAGUGAGCGACUAAGCCAACGAGCGAACGGCGCCAAGAGGAAUGCAAAAAAGAGGAGAAAAAGAGAAAGAAAGGAGACUUGAUUGAUCAACU